Triticum dicoccoides is the source of this 989-nucleotide long non-coding RNA. RefSeq lists it as uncharacterized. The transcript is spliced from 4 exons. The record is from RefSeq and is a predicted model, not a curated record. Lineage: Eukaryota; Viridiplantae; Streptophyta; Magnoliopsida; Poales; Poaceae.
CUUCUGAGCGUCUCCUCACCCCUCACUCAUGUGGCCCCUUCAACUGGUGGCACUUUUGCUUGUGUCUUGUUAUCUUUUCGAAAUGGUGAAGCUGACAAUGAUAGCCUGUAUCACUGAUGGCCUUUCAUUUGCGGAGUGCUUAGAUGGUGGUUAUGUUAAGGAUGUUGUCUUCUACAAGCAGCAAGCAAAAUUGUUGUUCAAAAACAUAUAUAAAGGCCAACAUGAAUCAUCAAGACUGUCAACUGAGACUGGACCGUACCGUUCCAGGUUAAGGUUGCAGGAAUAGCUUUAUAUUAGGAGCAGCUUCUCCACCACCACUCAGCAGUAGAGGAGGUGUGCUUCUUCCCCAACACAACAUAGCGUCAGCCACGGUAUCCUCGGCCCUCUCCCUCUAUCUACCCUCUUCUGUUCCUUACCGAAAAAUCAUUUUUUUACCUUGUAUAAUACUUGUGAUUUGGACCGAUUUGUGUUUUGGGGGGCAUCAAUUUGGUGCUUCCCCCGUCCAUGUGCUGCAGAGAAAAGGAGAAGAAGGGGAUGGAUGAGCAAGGAGCAGAAGGACCUGAAGAAGAAGGGCAAGGGAAGUGGGGCGAUAUGCAUGUCCAGGGAGGGUAUAGAAAACCAAUUAGUGUUGGCUGCCUUGAAGGGAGCCACAAGGAAGAGAGAGAUCAGUGUACAUGACAUGAAGAUGAUAAGGCGCCACUUCCACGAUGACAUCAACAUCGCCGUGGUCUGUCUUCAAUGGCACCUGGGGCGACAUCAGAUCAUGUAAACACCUAAUAUUUGUACAUGGUUAUGUCCACCUUCAACGGAAGGCACACAUAUCCCCAUUUGUGGUUUCAGCUUUACGGGAAGUUUUUAGUCGUGUAAGACUAAUGCUUAUAGUUUGUUUUCAAGUAUUUCUGUUGCUGGGCUUAUUUUUAAACUAUAGUUUGGUUGAUGAACUAUUUCUACUGAAAAGCUUAUUUUGAAAAUAUAGUUUGGUUGGCGAA